RNAcentral lists this long non-coding RNA (425 nucleotides) under Prunus persica (peach). RNAcentral's name for it is "long non-coding RNA (PPER_LNC000513)". Lineage: Eukaryota; Viridiplantae; Streptophyta; Magnoliopsida; Rosales; Rosaceae. The record is from RNAcentral.
GCGGUCCAACCGGGGGACGAAACUCCAUAGCUCACACACUGGAACAUCCAACGCCAUGUGUAGCUCCAAUACUAAGUCCUACGCACGCAGACUGGAUCAUCACACACCGGAACAUCCAACGCCAUGUGUGAUGAUCCCAAGCAAUAUAUCGAGUCUUCCCAUACGCCGGAACAUCCAAUGCCGCGUAUGGAAAAUAUCUCACAUGCCGGAACAUCCAACGUCACGUGUGAGACUGAUAACCUAUUCUUCCCACACGCCGGAACAUCCAACGCCACGUGUGAGAAGUCUAAUAACUGGGGAAGGUACUUACAUAGUGUAAUCAUACAACUUCUCUCAAUAACCCCUCAUAUUCAAGUUCUUCCACAACUCACCUCAACAAUCCAAGUAUCCCACCUAUAGACAAUAUAUAUAUAUAUAACUUCCCC